Molecule: long non-coding RNA, 1754 nt
Organism: Leopardus geoffroyi (Geoffroy's cat)
Lineage: Eukaryota; Metazoa; Chordata; Mammalia; Carnivora; Felidae
Exons: 3
Source: RefSeq, a predicted model, not a curated record
CUGACUGAGCCGCCCAGGCACCCCAAGGACGGUUUUCUUUAAAAUGAUGGUGGGAUCUCAUAUGGCCAUGUUCAAGAUCAGUGACGUUUUCAGAAAAGAGUAAGAAUUGAUGCAACUGCAGUGGGAAGCCUGGAGCAAAGCCUGAGGGUCAAGUUUGACAGAGCUCAGGACUGCUCUGGAUGCAUGACAGACCUUGGCUUCACCAGACCCCAAGCAUGACCUCAUUUUCUCAUAAAUAGAGAAAUGCCUCUUUAGCAAGGAGCUUACAAUCUUCUAUGUAAAAUAAAAAUUGUCCCUCUUGGAUAUAUUCCUGCUGGAGUCCUGAAAAGCUGGAAUUCGUUUCGAACACCAUAUAUAUCUAAGUUGUUUGAAGAUAUUGUUUCAAAGAGAUGCCUCAGGAACCACUUAAGAAGAAUACUCAGCUUCAGGUCCAGCACGCUUGGCUUUAAAUGCUUGACAACCUCGUUUUUGCCCUGCCCCAAAUUUCUCACUCCAUUCUCACCAUUUUCUAGAAUACUGACCUCUCCAACUUUCCUCUUUUAUGCCUUCCCAUCAGCAUAGUUUUAUUUACUAUUGCUUGCAUUUUUCCUACAUGUCUUUAGUAAUUUGACGAAGGCCUUUUGGGAAUGCCUCCAGCUCCAUGGUCCUUGUGCUUUAUGGAGCCUCUGCUCACCACCCCACCUUUCUGGCCUCUUGGGCAGAGCCCAGACAUAACGUGGGGGUCCCUGAAGAGGCUAUGUAUGAACGAUAAAAAAUGACUAACCCCAAUUAACUAGACAACUUAAAAUUAACUUUCAUUUGACCUCUACUUCAUCUGUAUCGGUGUCUUUCAGUUGUCUGUAUCUAUAAAGUCCGGGUACAUUUCUUCAGUAUUCCACUGGCUGGAAAGACGGAGGGAGGGCAGACAGUGUAUGUAAACAGCUCAGCAGCUGCUGGAAAAUCUUGAUGGGCAUGCUGUCAGUCUCCUUUGCUAUUUCCCCCUAGCUCUGAUUGUGGCUCUGAAUUCUUUAAAGACUAAAGAGAGAUUCUUGUGUUUGACAACUAAACUAACAGCUCGACGAGGGGAAAAAGACUGCUGAAAUCUGUCAAUGAAUGUUGCUAACAUAUGUUGCAUUUAUGGACAGGGAGAACACUAGACCUAGCAAGUCUUUGGAAAGAUGUGUGAGCUGGCUGACAGCUGUGACAUCUCAGCACAACAAGUUAAAGUAACACUGAGCAGUGGGUUGUGUCCAGUGAGACUUGGUUGGCCACAGAUGACAAUUCUUCUCCCUGAGUUAUUUCUCUAGUGUCGAUGAUUAAUAUCAAAUGUCGGAUCCGUUCUGUAACGUUGGCACACACCAAGAAAAAGCACAGUCCAGAAGCUAUGCGUUUCUUUUUUCUGGACCACUCAUCUUUUUGGUGUGCUGGCACAAUUGUUUGCAAGCUCUCAUCAUCAUGGGGAAGUCAUCUAUUAAGAACCAUCUGCUGAAGAGAAUUCCAGUCCCUAAUAUUACAUCGCUGCUGGAGCUGUCCAUGUUCUUCCCCACUGCCCACCACUACCUUUCUCACAUUGCUUCUUUGUGUCUGUGCAUGGAGAACAGACAAGUGUACGGGAUUUGUUUUACUUAAGACUUAGCGUGGUGGAGCUAAAAGUAUAGUUCACUGCCUCUCAAACGUCAACGUGCAGAGGAGUCACCUGAGACUCUUAUUAAAAUGCAGAUUUGGGGGCGCCUGGGUGGCGCAGUCGGUUAAGCGUCCGACUUCAGCCAGGUCAC